Molecule: small nuclear RNA, 107 nt
Organism: Symphalangus syndactylus (siamang)
Lineage: Eukaryota; Metazoa; Chordata; Mammalia; Primates; Hylobatidae
Source: RefSeq, a predicted model, not a curated record
GCGCUUGCUUUGGCAGCACAUACACUAAAAUUGGAACAAUAUAGAGAAGAUCAGCAUGGCCCCUGGGCAAGGAUGACACACAAGUUCGUGAAGUGUUCCAUAUUUUU